Molecule: ribosomal RNA, 253 nt
Filed under: uncultured bacterium
Lineage: Bacteria
Description: partial 16S ribosomal RNA
Rfam family: Bacterial small subunit ribosomal RNA
Source: RNAcentral
UACGAGGGAUGCAAGCGUUAUCCGGAAUUACUGGGCGUAAAGCGUGCGCAGGCGGUCUUGUAAGACAGUCGUGAAAUCCCUGGGCUUAACCUAGGAACUGCGAUUGUGACUGCAAGGCUAGAGUGUGUCAGAGGGGGGUGGAAUUCCACGUGUAGCAGUGAAAUGCGUAGAGAUGUGGAGGAACACCGAUGGCGAAGGCAGCCCCCUGGAAUAACACUGACGCUCAUGCACGAAAGCGUGGGGAGCAAACAGG